CACGUAGGGGGCAAGCGUUGUCCGGAUUCAUUGGGCGUAAAGAGCUCGUAGGCGGUUCGAUAAGUCGGGUGUGAAACCUCCAGGCUCAACCUGGAGACGCCACCCGAUACUGUCGUGACUAGAGUCCAGUAGGGGAGCGUGGAAUUCCUGGUGUAGCGGUGAAAUGCGCAGAUAUCAAGAGGAACACCUGAGGUGAAGACGGGUUGCUGGGCCGACACUGACGCUGAUGCGCGAAAGCCAGGGGAGCAAACGGG
RNAcentral lists this ribosomal RNA (254 nucleotides) under uncultured bacterium. Its description in RNAcentral is "partial 16S ribosomal RNA". It matches the Rfam family "Bacterial small subunit ribosomal RNA", at positions 524 to 776 of the family's 1533-position model. The record is from RNAcentral.